CGGAGGAUGCGAGCGUUAUCCGGAUUUAUUGGGUUUAAAGGGUGCGCAGUCGGUACGGAAAGUCAGCGGUAAAAUUACGGAGCUCAACUCCGCCGAGCCGUUGAAACUUCCGCACUAGAGUGAGCGAGAAGUAAGCGGAAUGCGUGGUGUAGCGGUGAAAUGCAUAGAUAUCACGCAGAACGCCGAUUGCGAAGGCAGCUUACCGGCGCUCAACUGACGCUCAGGCACGAAAGUGCGGGUAUCGA
RNAcentral lists this ribosomal RNA (245 nucleotides) under uncultured bacterium. RNAcentral's name for it is "partial 16S ribosomal RNA". It matches the Rfam family "Bacterial small subunit ribosomal RNA", at positions 526 to 771 of the family's 1533-position model. The record is from RNAcentral.